This 253-nucleotide ribosomal RNA is filed under the name uncultured bacterium. RNAcentral's name for it is "partial 16S ribosomal RNA". It matches the Rfam family "Bacterial small subunit ribosomal RNA", at positions 524 to 776 of the family's 1533-position model. The record is from RNAcentral.
UACGUAGGUGACAAGCGUUAUCCGGAAUUACUGGGCGUAAAGCGCACGCAGGCGGCGUGGUAAGUCUGAUGUGAAAUCUCCCGGCUUAACUGGGAGGGGUCAUUGGAAACUGCCGAGCUUGAGGCGAUGAGAGGGGUGUAGAAUUCCCGGUGUAGUGGUGGAAUGCGUAGAUAUCGGGAGGAAUACCAGUGGCGAAGGCGGCUUCCUGGACCAAUACUGACGCUGAGGCGCGAAAGCGUGGGGAGCAAACAGG